Molecule: long non-coding RNA, 557 nt
Filed under: Gossypium barbadense (sea-island cotton)
Lineage: Eukaryota; Viridiplantae; Streptophyta; Magnoliopsida; Malvales; Malvaceae
Description: long non-coding RNA (GBAR_LNC003251)
Source: RNAcentral
CAAGUUUACAAUGGAAAGAGAUAGAGCAUGAUUUAUCCAAGCCUUUGAAGCAUCCAGGAAAGAUCCAUCCCGAACUUGAAAGCAUCAACAUGGUGAAAGAUAACACGAGUGCCAAGGAAAUCCAUCAUAAACUCAAAAGCAUUAAGGUGGCUAAGGAUAACUCAGGCAGAGGAUAGCUCAACCCUUUGAAGCAUCCCAAUGGUGGGAAGAUUUGCUCAACCCUGUGGAGCAUCAAGAUGAUGGGAGAUUUGCUCAACCUUUCGGAGAUGAAAGAUAAAGCAUGCACCAAACAUGAUGAUCACGAUAGAUUCACCCAAAACUGCGAAGCAUUAAGAUGACUAUCGAUGGAGUGUGUAGUGAGCUUGCCAACUAAGUAGCAAUUACUUGGAUGUCAUUGUAUCAUGAUCCAAAGUGGGUCUGUUGUCCAACCUAGGAUAGAGGUCAACUUUUGAGCACUGCCUUAGGACUUUAGCUCAUCGAUUUUGUUUUCCAGGGUAGAUUUGUUUCCCAACUUGAGGUGGAAGUCUAGCUCUGAAAACUCAUGUACUUUAAAAUUU